UUUCCCUCAGGAUAGCUGGCGCUCUCCAAGAGACUGAAACCCAGGGCCAAAAAAAAACAAAAAAACAAAAAAAAAAAAAAACGAUCUCAACCUAUUCUCAAACUUUAAAUGGGUAAGAAGCCUGGCUUGCUGGUGUGAAGCUGGGCAUGGAGUUUGAGUGCCUAGUGGGCCACUUUUGUUAAGCAGAACUGGCGCUGGGGUAUGAACUG
This 209-nucleotide non-coding RNA is filed under the name Mus musculus (house mouse). RNAcentral describes it as "Eukaryotic large subunit ribosomal RNA". It matches the Rfam family "Eukaryotic large subunit ribosomal RNA", at positions 967 to 1170 of the family's 3401-position model. Lineage: Eukaryota; Metazoa; Chordata; Mammalia; Rodentia; Muridae. The record is from Rfam by way of RNAcentral.